GUUCCCCAUGAUGCAUUGCUUCUUCUUGAACCAUGCUAAUGCUGAUCAUUACAUGACUGAAAUUCUUCUCUACUUUCUGAGGGAACA
Molecule: small nucleolar RNA, 87 nt
Organism: Hevea brasiliensis (rubber tree)
Lineage: Eukaryota; Viridiplantae; Streptophyta; Magnoliopsida; Malpighiales; Euphorbiaceae
Product: small nucleolar RNA snoR53Y
Exons: 1
Source: RefSeq, a predicted model, not a curated record